CGGCAUCCCUGGCCGCAUCCUCAGAGCAUGCGCAGACCAGCUGGCUGUGAUAACGGACAUAUUCAAUCGUUCCCUAUCCCAGUCUCCUGUCCCCACAUGCUUCAAGAUGGCCACCAUUGUUCCUGUACCCAAGAAGGCAAAGAUAACUGAACUAAAUGACUAUCGCCCCGUAGCACUCACUUCGGUCAUCAUGAAGUGCUUUGGGAGACUAGUCAAGGAUCAUAUCACCUCCACCUUACCUGACACCCUAGACCCACUUCAGUUUGCAUACUGCCCCAACAGGUCCACAGAUGAUGCAAUCGCCAUCACACUGCACACUGCCCUAUCCCAUCUGGACAAGAGGAAUACCUAUUUGGCCAGGGGGCUAAGCUGGAGACGAUGACUGGAGAGAAGAACAAGGCUAAGGUGAACCUGGUUGGGAACAUGCUAAACAU
Oncorhynchus tshawytscha (Chinook salmon) is the source of this 434-nucleotide long non-coding RNA. NCBI's taxonomy places the organism in Eukaryota, Metazoa, Chordata, Actinopteri, Salmoniformes, Salmonidae. The record is from Ensembl.